GCACUACAUAAUAACCUGGUUUUAACCAGAUCACGGAACAUGUGUUUGGGUGAUUUGAUUUCCAGAAGACCAAGGUAGGUCCCAGUAGACUGGAAAGCAAAGGCCUUGCAUAAUUCCUGCAAGUACAGGCCCAAAAACAGUUCAGGAGUCAGUCACACCAUCCUGGAUUUGUUCCUUGAUGUCCUGCUUUUUGGAAUGCCAGGGGACUAUCUCCAAAAAAAACAUAGUCCAGGUGCUUCGUUCAACACGCUCACACUAAAGACACUGGGACCAUAUAGAGAACACAUAUGCGGUGCCACCAGCAUGGUCUGUAUUCAGUGGAAGAAAAGAAAUAUCCAGGCACACCUGAGGUUUCUUUAAAAAGGCAGCCUUUUUUAUUUGAAACGAGGAAGUGGAGACAAC
Molecule: non-coding RNA, 402 nt
Organism: Pelobates cultripes (western spadefoot toad)
Lineage: Eukaryota; Metazoa; Chordata; Amphibia; Anura; Pelobatidae
Source: the annotation of a GenBank genome assembly